GGGAGACGUACACGUUAUAUAGAAACAUCUGACAUGGACUGUAUAGCUAUCUGGGUCCAUAUUGUAUAGGAAUACACAUACAGUAAGUAGCUAUUAAUCAGAACAUGUGCCAUUCACUGCUCUCACUCAUUCCAGGUACUGGCGAUUCAAUGAGGAGACUCGUUCUGCCGAUACAGGUUACCCCAAACCCAUUACUGUCUGGGCUGGGAUCCCCGACACCCCUAAAGGAGCCUUCCUGAGUACGGACGCAU
Pelobates cultripes (western spadefoot toad) is the source of this 251-nucleotide non-coding RNA. The record is from the annotation of a GenBank genome assembly. Lineage: Eukaryota; Metazoa; Chordata; Amphibia; Anura; Pelobatidae.